UUUUGUUUGUAUUGUAUGGAUCAUGCCAAAAGAAAGAAUGGAUAGCCUUAACAUACAUAUUUUUGUAAAUUUGAACACCUCUUAAAUUUGGCAAAAAUCCCAAAGAAGUAGGAAUUGAACCACCUAUUUCAUUAUCAUGUAAACUAAGUUUUCUGAGAGCUUGAAACUGACCAAUUUUUUUCACUUAGUCUACCACUUAGUCCUUUUAAUGGAAUCUUGAUUAGAAUAACUUGACCUUGAGCACAUUUAAUACCAACCCAACUUCCUAAACAAGCUCCAACUCCAGUGUCAUUCCAACUUUUUAAGAUAUUGAACAAACAAUAUUUCUUCAUUCAGGGUAACUCAUCAGCCAUAUUAUUGGUUAUCGACCUCAGGUUAGAGAACUUCUUAGUUUAUCAUUAUUCCACUCCCGCAGUGGAGUUUAGAGAACAAACACACAAGUGCACCGAGUCUGACGCAUGACAACUCCAAGCAUCUUUCAGCUUUAAGUGUAUCUUUUCAUUCUUUCCUAUUUUUGCAUAGGUUGACAUAGGAGAACAUUUAAGUGAAAUAUAUGUGCACAAAAGUCAGAAAAUACAUUCAUGAAUGGCACAUCAUGAACUGUAAGAAUAUCUAGACAGGAGUGAAGACCAUGAAAUGGUAAAAUGUCACAUUCUUGCUCUUAUUGAAUGGUGUAGGUAAUGAUCAUAUUCCUUUUCCACAUGAUGAGAUUAGAAUUUGUGGAAAAUACUUUUCUCCAUGAUUAUAUAUAGGGGAAUGCAUUAUACUAGCCAACAAUAUGAGAACAUGCCGCCACCAUUCAAUAUCAAUCUUUCAUAUUCAAGAUCUCCUAUUCCACUCUCCACAUGCAGAAUUUCUGUCACUUCCCAUUGAUUGGUAUCAAGAUCAGAUUCAAACGACAUAUUUGUGUGAUUUACCCAUAAUUUUAAAAAUGGGUCAAAAAGUUGGCAUUAAGGAACUUCAGAGCCUAAAAGUAGGUCCAGUAACCUUUCAUGAGAUAUAUCAUUGAAAAUAAUCCAUUAAAAUUUUAAAAGAAUGUCUACAAAUGUGCAUUAUCUCACUCAGAAUAACUUGCUUAGUAUGCUCUUAUAAUAUGACACAUUUACACAUGGUAUAUGAGUCACUUUAUAGACCAUAGCUGGCGGCCACGUUGAUGCACUAAAGCUUAUCCAAAUUUAUCAAUCCUCACUAAUCCAAUAAUUAACCAAUUACCCAUUUAAUUAUAAAUUAUUUCAAAUUACUUAAAAUUCUACUUAUUUUUAAUACACUUUACAAAUCCUACUAUCAUUGUCAUAUGGUACCAUAUAAAAUUAAUACAUACAUUAUUAUUUCAUUAAAAUAUCCAUAUAAAAAUACAUAUAUUUUCUUAACUUAUGAUUUUCCUAAUCUCAUAUAAAGAGUAAAAAUUCGCGUACGCUUAAUUCUUAAAACGGAAAUUUUUAGCUUUGUGACGAUAAUUCGAUAAUUUCACUUAAGACCAUAUACAAAUAUUAAAGAUAUUAGGUAUGUGCUUCCACAUCUAUUUGUCUAUCUUCGAUGUCUAAUUGUCUAUCGACGUGAAAGCAUUCCAGGUGCUAAGAUUAGAUCAAAAGUCUUCUGAUCCAUAUCCUAUGAAAAAACCAUAGGUCUUCGACUAGGUUAGAUUACCAUAAAAAUACUAUUUACUCUUAUGAUAAAUAAAACCUCAUUUAUAAACUCCCACAUGUCAUGUAUAUAAUUUAAAACUUAUUAUAACCAUAUAAAAUCGUAUUUAUAAACUUUUACCGAAAAUGGUUUACUUCAAAAAAAAUACAUAUCAAGCCAAUAUAUAGUAGUUCCAAAAUUCUUCAAACUCACAAGGUCUUACAUCCAUAUCAUCAUGUAUAACCUUAAUCCUUUCCAACUCAUAUGUUAUUACUUCGACGAAUCCUAAAGUUGAGGUACGGGAUGUAACAUCCUUCCCCCUUUAAAAACAUUCGUCCUCGAAUGUUAACUCUUUGAUAUUUUCAAAACUUUCACUAAGGUCUCCUCUAUAUAUUAAACUAAAACUCAACCUCUAUCUGAGCUCUAGACUAUUCACAACCUUUUGUACUUGAAUAUCUCGUAUCUUCUUCACCUUUAACUUACUUACCUUUCAAUCUCUCAUCGUAUCUUCUAAUUUUUUUUUCAUAAUCUCCCUUCCACAUUACGCCUUAAAGCUCUACUGUGAUAGCACCUUUGGUGCAUAUAAAAUUUAGUGAAAGCUUGAUACUGACUUCUUACGACUUAGCUCUAUGACACGAUUUGGAAACAAAAGAAGGGUAACAUUUCUUAAAUGCCCUAUAGCCUCUCAAUUAUAAAUGUGGCGCACAAUAACCCAUAAGUGAAACUCUACUAAGCACGGCUUUGUAGACUCCCUAGGACACGACCCGCUCUGAUACCACUUUGUCACGCCCCGAACCUGGGAGGUGUGGCUGACAUCUGGUACCGUAGUGGUCCGAGCGAACCACUUUGAAACUCAUUCAUUCCUUUUGUAACUAUCAUGAGCCAACAUGAGCACAACUCGAAAUGUACAACUGUAAGUGAAAAACACUAUUUCGCUGAACCAUUUUUUUUAAAACAAGAAUUAAUAUGGGCCGACAAGGCCUCUCACAUACUGUGAAAAGUGAAUAUGUGUCUACAAAGCCUCUAAGAUUAUUCAACAUCAAAUGGGAUUGGGUACCAGCCUACCCAUAUGUCUGUAGAAAAACUCUGACACGAUAACUCAUAGACUCGACUGCACUCUGAAUGAGGUGGAGUCUUACCGAUCCGUCGUUGAACGCAGACCUCGUCUAUUGUGAGGGUUCGUCAAUCAGAUUAUAUAUACUUGCAGACAUGAGUGCAGCGUCCCCAACAAAAGGACGUCAAUACGAAUAAUGUACUGAGUAUGUAAGGCAGAACUAAAACAUAACAGUAAGUUAAUAAAAACUAAGGACAUAGAAAAAAUAUUGAGUAAAUGACUCAACCUAUAAAUCUGAAUAGCUCUGUAAAUCAUGAAAUAUUUAUAGUAUCAUGCAUAUGCGUAUAAAUAUCAUGUAAUGCAUAGGUCUGUAUGUACAUAACAUCAUAAAGUCUCAGAGGGCAUCCCAUCAUAUCAUCUCAGCCACAUUGGGCAAAUCAUCAACGUAUACCAGCUGAUCGGGUGGUAUUGCGUAUAAAAGGCCAUAACCUUUUUCCAUAUUCCAUAUACAUAUAUAUAUAUAUACAUAUAUACGCUUAUAUAACGCCAUGUGAGUCAUGGGUAAAUGCAACAUGUGAAUGAAUGCGAUGCAUGAGAAGUACGUUAAUAAAAUCUUUCGGAAUGUCAUAAGACCAUUAUGCAUUUGAUUAAUAUCAUGAAAUAAACAUUACCAACUUGUGUAUUUUCUGAGACCCAUGAACAUAUGAUUAAAUAAUAGGACACAGGGGAAUUCAAGAAUAUAGACACCUCUAAUACUUUUAUGAAUAGAUCAUGCCAAAAGAAAGAAUGGAUAGCCUUUACAUACAUAUUUUUGUAAAUUUGAACACCUCUUAAAUCUGGCAAAAAUCCCAAAGAAGUAGGAAUUGAACCACCUAUUCAUUAUCAUGUAAAUUAAGUUUUCUGAGAGCUUGAAACUGACCAAUUUUUUUCACUUAGUCUACCACUUAGUCCUUUUAAUGGAAUCUUGAUUACAAUAACUUGACCUUCAGCAUAUUUAAUACCAACCCAACUUCCUAAACAAGCUCCAACUCCAGUGUCAUUCCAACUUUUUAAGAUAUUGAACAAACAAUAUUUCUUCAUUCAGGGUAACUCAUCAGCCAUAUUAUUGGUUGUCGACCUCAGGUUAGAGAACUUCUUAGUUUAUCAUUAUUCCACUCCCGCAGUGCAGUUUAGAGAACAAACACACAAGUGCACUGAGUCUGACGCAUGACAACUCCAAGCAUCUUUCAGCUUUAAGUGUAUCUUUUCAUUCUUUCCUAUUUUUGCAUAGGUUGACAUAGGAGAACAUUUAAGUGAAAUAUAUGUGCACAAAUGUCAGAAAAUACAUUCAUGAAUGGCACAUCAUGAACUGUAAGAAUAUCUAGACAGGAGUGAAGACCAUGAAAUGGUAAAAUGUCACAUUCUGGCUCUUAUUGAAUGGUGUAGGUAAUGAUCAUAUUCCUGUUCCACAUGAUGAGAUUAGAAUUUGUGGAAAAUACCUUUCUCCAUGAUUAUAUAUAGGGGAAUGCAUUAUACUAGCCAACAAUAUGAGAACAUGCCGCCACCAUUCAAUAUCAAUCUUUCAUAUUCAAGAUCUCCUAUUCCACUCUCCACAUGCAGAAUUUCUGUCACUUCCCAUUGAUUGGUAUCAAGAUCAGAUUCAAACGAUAUAUUUGUGUGAUUUACCCAUAAUUUUAAAGAUGGGUCAAAAAGUUGGCAUUAAGGAACUUCAGAGCCUAAAAGUAGUAUCAUUGAAAAUAAUCCAUUAAAAUUUUAAAAGAAUGUCUACAAAUGUGCAUUAUCUUACUCAGAAUAACUUGCUUAGUA
This 4483-nucleotide long non-coding RNA is filed under the name Nicotiana tabacum (common tobacco). RNAcentral describes it as "long non-coding RNA (NTAB_LNC002932)". The record is from RNAcentral. Lineage: Eukaryota; Viridiplantae; Streptophyta; Magnoliopsida; Solanales; Solanaceae.